AUUGAACGCUGGCGGCAUGCCUUACACAUGCAAGUCGAACGGCAGCGGACCUUCGGGUGCCGGCGAGUGGCGAACGGGUGAGUAAUAUAUCGGAACGUACCUUUCAGUGGGUAUAACGUAGCGAAAGUUACGCUAAUACCGCAUAUUCUGUGAGCAGGAAAGCAGGGGAUCGCAAGACCUUGCGCUGAUUGAGCGGCCGAUAUCAGAUUAGCUAGUUGGUGAGGUAAAGGCUCACCAAGGCGACGAUCUGUAGCGGGUCUGAGAGGAUGAUCCGCCACACUGGAACUGAGACACGGUCCAGACUCCUACGGGAGGCAGCAGUGGGGAAUUUUGGACAAUGGGCGCAAGCCUGAUCCAGCCAUGCCGCGUGAGUGAAGAAGGCCUUCGGGUUGUAAAGCUCUUUCGGCCGGGAAGAAAUCGCACAGGUUAAUACCCUGUGUGGAUGACGGUACCGGAAUAAGAAGCACCGGCUAACUACGUG
Molecule: ribosomal RNA, 481 nt
Filed under: uncultured bacterium
Lineage: Bacteria
Description: bacterial SSU rRNA
Rfam family: Bacterial small subunit ribosomal RNA
Source: RNAcentral